GAUGAACGCUGGCGGCGUGCCUAAUACAUGCAAGUCGAGCGAACCACUUCGGUGGAGAGCGGCGAACGGGUGAGUAACACGUAGGUCAUCUACCCAUUAGACGGGGAUAACGUUUGGAAACGAACGCUAAUACCGGAUAGGAUGCAAAUUUAAAGGUGCCCUCAAGCACCGCUAAUGGAUGAGCCUGCGGCGCAUUAGCUAGUUGGUAAGGUAAGAGCUUACCAAGGCGACGAUGCGUAGCCGACCUGAGAGGGUGAACGGCCACACUGGGACUGAGACACGGCCCAGACUCCUACGGGAGGCAGCAGUAGGGAAUCUUCGGCAAUGGACGAAAGUCUGACCGAGCAACGCCGCGUGAAUGAAGAAGGCUUUCGGGUCGUAAAAUUCUGUUAUAAGGGAAGAAAAGUUAGAGUAGGAAAUGGCUCUAAAGUGACGGUACCUUAUGAGAAAGCCACGGCUAACUACGUGCCAGCAGCCGCGGUAAUACGUAGGUGGCAAGCGUUAUCCGGAAUUAUUGGGCGUAAAGAGCGCGCAGGUGGUUGAUUAAGUCUGAUGUGAAAGCCCACGGCUUAACCGUGGAGGGUCAUUGGAAACUGGUCAACUUGAGUGCAGAAGAGGGAAGUGGAAUUCCAUGUGUAGCGGUGAAAUGCGUAGAGAUAUGGAGGAACACCAGUGGCGAAGGCGGCUUCCUGGACCAAAACUGACGUUGAUGCACGAAAGUGUGGGGAGCAAACAGGAUUAGAUACCCUGGUAGUCCACACUGUAAACGAUGGAUACUAGGUGUAGGAUGUGAUUUAACAACCUGUGCCGACGCAAACGCAAUAAGUAUCCCACCUGGGGAGUACGACCGCAAGGUUG
RNAcentral lists this ribosomal RNA (858 nucleotides) under uncultured bacterium. RNAcentral's name for it is "bacterial SSU rRNA". It matches the Rfam family "Bacterial small subunit ribosomal RNA", at positions 28 to 896 of the family's 1533-position model. The record is from RNAcentral.